GCGCUCGUAGCUCAGUUGGAUAGAGCACUAGGUUGCGGACCUAGGGGUCGCAGGUUCAAAUCCUGCCGGGCGCA
RNAcentral lists this transfer RNA (74 nucleotides) under Candidatus Collierbacteria bacterium. RNAcentral's name for it is "tRNA-Arg". It matches the Rfam family "tRNA". Rfam says of the family: Transfer RNA (tRNA) molecules are approximately 80 nucleotides in length. Their secondary structure includes four short double-helical elements and three loops (D, anti-codon, and T loops). The record is from RNAcentral. Lineage: Bacteria; Candidatus Collieribacteriota. RNAcentral also lists the same sequence under 3 other names.